Molecule: long non-coding RNA, 1535 nt
Organism: Cucumis sativus (cucumber)
Lineage: Eukaryota; Viridiplantae; Streptophyta; Magnoliopsida; Cucurbitales; Cucurbitaceae
Exons: 2
Source: RefSeq, a predicted model, not a curated record
ACCUCAUCCUGAGUCCAAACUCGCCUCACCAGGUCCGAGUACCCGAGUCGACUCAGCACCGGUCGAAUGCUAACCAUGUAUAGCCUCUUGUACCCUCCCAAGGCGGCUACCACCGUUUUCACCGACGACGGAAGCGGCGAUUUUACAUGACGGAAGCACACUUGUUCCCACACCGAUUCACUUCGAGCUAUGGUGCACCAUAGCCGGCAGACACAGGUCGCGACCCCGAGGGAUGGUCCGUCUAGCCGCUUGAGGAUUUCGAUCAGAAUGUCGAGAUUGUCGUUGAUUAAGAACUUCCGCCUCUUCUCGUUCGGCUCUGGGGAAGGCAGACCAGAGACACACACCCGGGGGGCAGGGGUGGAACUUUUAGACUAUGAAAAACGCGUUGACAAUCGCAUAAUUGUACCAUAGAGGUAUAUUUUGCGUCGUCUUUGCUCAUGGUAUAUCCACAGUUUAUCACUAAACUUGUGUGCUUUAAUUAAAAUUGUCAUUCUAAUAAUUGUGAAUCUUGUUGGAUGGUUCAUUUCUAUUACAAAACGUACAGCGUUUUCAUAUGGCCUUCAUAUGAUACAGUGAUAUAUACACAUCACACUGAGGAAAUAUAUGCUGGAAAACUAAAAAACAAAAUAGACAGAACUUUAUGCACUUGGUGGAAAAAGGUGAAGCAGAAGACGAUAAAAUGCAUUAAAAAAUGUUUGAAAAUAAGAAGUGUUGUUUGUGCGGAGGAAGAAAAGUGAGGGGAAACAAGCAUCAUAGGUGUCUUCUGAAAAACAAUAAAUAAAUAAUGUAAAUAUGUGUGAGAAUUGAGAAGAGAUGACCCAUUGAAAAUCAUAGACAGGGCAGUGCCCAUUUGAUUGUCUGAUGGGGUUGGCACGGAAAGGAAAACCCCAAGUCCUUUGAGACAGAAAGGAUAUAAUAAAACAUCAUUAUAUUGGGUGUUAGAAUUGACAUUUAGAUUUAUAAAAAGACCCUUUAGGUUGGGUUCUGCGGGAAGGACUUAGGAGGUGAGAGAUUCUCUUAGCCUCUCCCUCCCCUACUGCCCCCACCUCUAUAUUAUAUUCUUUUAGGGUUUCUGAAGACGUUGUUUUAUUUAUGUUGGACUUGUCUAUUGGACUUAUCUGAGAAAGCACUGUUCCCAAGUCUUGCUGAGAAGAACUUAAUAAUUGCAACAAUACAAGAAGAAAAACUCCUAAAGGUCAAUAACCAACACAAAUUCUUACGUUUCCAUUUUCUUACUUGCUUAACCUUCUCUGUGUUAAAAGACUGCCUUUCGUACUUACUUUGUUGUUAUAGAGUUCUUGUCAUCAUCAUCUUGUAAUUUUUCAAUUUUUUACAGCUUAACAUUUCAUUCAAUUCAACUCCCCUUCUUUCUUUCUUUGUUGUUUUUUUUUUCUUUUUUUUUUUUAAUAAAUAUUUUCCAUACAUACAUUUGCGUUUCUAAGACUCUGUUUACUUAUAUUUUAUUGAGCUUAAUAUUUUGUAUCAUCAACAGAAAGACUGUCACAUUUUCCCAUUUUGCUGUAAAUCUUCUUUCA